Molecule: long non-coding RNA, 414 nt
Organism: Aegilops tauschii subsp. strangulata
Lineage: Eukaryota; Viridiplantae; Streptophyta; Magnoliopsida; Poales; Poaceae
Source: RefSeq, a predicted model, not a curated record
AAAAUUAUAAGAGGAGGUGGACCGACGUAUGAAACCAAACAAAAAUGAUAAGAGGAGGUGGACGGACCAAAAACGGACGAAAUUAUAGUGGAAAUUUGGAAACAUUAAGUUGCGGCCAGAAAUGUGAAGAAAAUUACAAGUUCGAGAAAGGUGUCUUAGUCUGAAUAUUGUGCAGAGGAACCAGCUGCAGCACCGGAACCGGGACGGCACGCGGCCGGUCUUCCGGAUGCGCUCCACCUGCCGGGCCAACCGGACCGCCCGCCGGUUCCGCCUCGCCUCGACCCUCGCCUGCUUCCCCUCCACCUUGUGGCUCAAUGUGGACAGCCUCUUGGUCAGGCUGUUCUUCGCCCGCGCCUUCAUUUGAUCGGCCUGCACCUGAAAUGAAGUUUGCACAAUUACAUUCUGUAAAUUUGU